UUUCUCGCUCCCGAAAUCAAAAACUAAACCGGAACCAAAACCCGAUACGAGUCUUCGCCGGGAAACCGAGGAUCGCCGGAACCACCUGCCAUCGUCUUCACCAUCUCCGGCCACCACCUUCGUCGUCGUCCGGGUAAUUCUCUUGUGCACGAUCUUCUUGGAAAAUCCCUGAUUCUAUUAUCUUUUUCCAAUAUACGCAACGCAACCUAAGGCUAUGUUAAUUGCGUAACUAUGGUUUGGACAUGUGGAUUUCAUCGUUACGAGUACUUUGUGGAUGCCGGAAGAAGAUCAAGCUCAACGAAGAACCGAACACGAUAUAGUUACAUGCUUCCGCACUUGGCCUCGUCAUAA
This 351-nucleotide long non-coding RNA is filed under the name Helianthus annuus (common sunflower). RNAcentral's name for it is "sRNA HanXRQr2_Chr07g0312701". Lineage: Eukaryota; Viridiplantae; Streptophyta; Magnoliopsida; Asterales; Asteraceae. The record is from RNAcentral.